Molecule: ribosomal RNA, 253 nt
Filed under: uncultured bacterium
Lineage: Bacteria
Description: partial 16S ribosomal RNA
Rfam family: Bacterial small subunit ribosomal RNA
Source: RNAcentral
UACAGGGGGUGCAAACGUUGCUCGGAGUUAUUGGGCGUAAAGCGCGCGUAGGCGGCUACUUAAGUCGGAUGUGAAAGCCCUUGGCUCAACUGAGGAAGUGCACCCGAAACUGAGUGGCUUGAGUACUAAAGAGGGUCGCGGAAUUCCCGGUGCAGAGGUGAAAUUCGUAGAUAUCGGGAGGAACACCGGUGGCGAAGGCGGCGACCUGGGUAGAUACUGACGCUGAGGCGCGAAAGCGUGGGGAGCAAACAGG